GCGGCGUGCUUAACACAUGCAAGUCGAACGAUGAAGCCCUUCGGGGUGGAUUAGUGGCGAACGGGUGAGUAACACGUGGGCAAUCUGCCCUGCACUCUGGGACAAGCCCUGGAAACGGGGUCUAAUACCGGAUAUGAGCCGGAACCGCAUGGUUCUGGUUGUAAAGCUCCGGCGGUGCAGGAUGAGCCCGCGGCCUAUCAGCUUGUUGGUGAGGUAACGGCUCACCAAGGCGACGACGGGUAGCCGGCCUGAGAGGGCGACCGGCCACACUGGGACUGAGACACGGCCCAGACUCCUACGGGAGGCAGCAGUGGGGAAUAUUGCACAAUGGGCGAAAGCCUGAUGCAGCGACGCCGCGUGAGGGAUGACGGCCUUCGGGUUGUAAACCUCUUUCAGCAGGGAAGAAGCGAGAGUGACGGUACCUGCAGAAGAAGCGCCGGCUAACUACGUGCCAGCAGCCGCGGUAAUACGUAGGGCGCAAGCGUUGUCCGGAAUUAUUGGGCGUAAAGAGCUCGUAGGCGGCUUGUCGCGUCGGUUGUGAAAGCCCGGGGCUUAACCCCGGGUCUGCAGUCGAUACGGGCAGGCUAGAGUUCGGUAGGGGAGAUCGGAAUUCCUGGUGUAGCGGUGAAAUGCGCAGAUAUCAGGAGGAACACCGGUGGCGAAGGCGGAUCUCUGGGCCGAUACUGACGCUGAGGAGCGAAAGCGUGGGGAGCGAACAGGAUUAGAUACCCUGGUAGUCCACGCCGUAAACGGUGGGCACUAGGUGUGGGCAACAUUCCACGUUGUCCGUGCCGCAGCUAACGCAUUAAGUGCCCCGCCUGGGGAGUACGGCCGC
Molecule: ribosomal RNA, 835 nt
Filed under: Streptomyces sp. IM-7204
Lineage: Bacteria; Bacillati; Actinomycetota; Actinomycetes; Kitasatosporales; Streptomycetaceae
Description: bacterial SSU rRNA
Rfam family: Bacterial small subunit ribosomal RNA
Source: RNAcentral